CAGCCGCCACGGUAAUACGAAGGGGGCUAGCGUUGUUCGGAAUUACUGGGCGUAAAGCGCACGUAGGCGGAUAUUUAAGUCAGAGGUGAAAGCCCGGGGCUCAACCCCGGAACUGCCUUUGAAACUAGGUGACUAGAAUCUUGGAGAGGUCAGUGGAAUUCCGAGUGUAGAGGUGAAAUUCGUAGAUAUUCGGAAGAACACCAGUGGCGAAGGCGACUGACUGGACAAGUAUUGACGCUGAGGUGCGAAAGCGUGGGGAGCAAACAGGAUUAGAUACCCCCGUAGUCCCUGUCUCUUAUAC
This 301-nucleotide ribosomal RNA is filed under the name uncultured bacterium. RNAcentral's name for it is "partial 16S ribosomal RNA". It matches the Rfam family "Bacterial small subunit ribosomal RNA", at positions 509 to 807 of the family's 1533-position model. The record is from RNAcentral.